Molecule: small RNA, 630 nt
Filed under: Lepiota brunneoincarnata
Lineage: Eukaryota; Fungi; Basidiomycota; Agaricomycetes; Agaricales; Agaricaceae
Description: eukaryotic LSU rRNA
Rfam family: 5.8S ribosomal RNA (bases 278-431)
Source: RNAcentral
CAUUAUUGAAUAAACUUGGUGGGUUGUUGCUGGCUUCUUGGAGCAUGUGCACGCUCAUCGACUUUAUCCAUCCACCUGUGCACCUUCUGUAGUCUUGGAAAUGAAAGCGGCUGAGCCUCGAUGGGCAUUUUGCCCUAUCGGAUGUGAGGAAUGCUUUUGUGAAGGCAUGGCUCUCCUCAAAAGGCCUGUGAUCAUUUCUUGGACUAUGUUUUUCCAUAUACCACAUAGCAUGUUGUAGAAUGUAUCGGUGGGCCUCUGUGCCUAUAGAACUCAAUACAACUUUCAGCAACGGAUCUCUUGGCUCUCGCAUCGAUGAAGAACGCAGCGAAAUGCGAUAAGUAAUGUGAAUUGCAGAAUUCAGUGAAUCAUCGAAUCUUUGAACGCACCUUGCGCUCCUUGGUAUUCCGAGGAGCAUGCCUGUUUGAGUGUCAUUUAAUUCUCAACCAUGCUGGCUUUGUAAAGGUCAGUUGUGGCUUGGAUUGUGGGGGUAUUCCUGCGGGUCUCUCUUGAGGUCGGCUCCCCUAAAAUGCAUUAGCAGAACCGUUUGCGGUCAGUCGCAGGUGUGAUAAUUAUCUACGCCAAAGACCAAGGCUGCUCUCAGUAUAUUCAGCUUCUAAUGUCGCAGGUCAG